GCUGUGAUGGCCGACUGGUUAAGGCGUUGGAUAUGAAAUCCACUGGGGUCUCCCCGCACAGGUUCGAACCCUGCUUGCAGCG
This is a non-coding RNA of Gymnothorax javanicus (giant moray), 82 nucleotides long. NCBI's taxonomy places the organism in Eukaryota, Metazoa, Chordata, Actinopteri, Anguilliformes, Muraenidae. The record is from the annotation of a GenBank genome assembly.